AAAAAAUGAUUUCGGUCAAAUAGGGCAGACAAACCAAGAACUGGUUUUUGUUUUGAGUGCUAGGCUGUGGGAAGUCGGACAAUGGCAGCGGGCCAUUCUUUUGCCACUCAGAUGAAAUCGGACUUGGUGCAGGUGGGCUUCACGAGGCCAAGUGAGCGGCGGUCGGUCAAAUUGAGACCGCAGGCAGAGGUGACGGAACUUGAGAUUCCAAUUGGUCUUCAAAGCAGGAAAGAAGAAGACCUUGUACUCAGUUUUUCAGAAACCAAUUGGACUACUGAACAUAAGAAGAUGUGACAUUAUAGGAAGAUGUGGAACUAUUAGCAGAGCUUGACAUGGAUGGCUAGAGAUUUUCGAUUUCAUGUCCAAGAAUAAUGUGAAGUAUACAAUGAAAACAAGUAAAAUGAUUCAUUUGCAGCAAAGAUCUGUUGUGCAAGAUAGACUCAGAAGGAAAGGCAAGAAAAGUCAUAUCGUGCUCGUGUGUUGUUGUUAAGGAUUAUGGAGAGGAUUCACACUAUUAUAAAUAUGAAUAUUAUAUAAUGUGAGAUAUAUGAAUUUAGAACUUACAGUGUUAUUUUGAUGGUACACAUUUUUAUUAUAUUAUUUAUCAUUUUGCAUAACAAGUGUAACAAACAAAAAAUUUAAAACCAUUGAUACCGGUCCCAAAUUUGGGUGAAAAAGAUUGAGAGUUGUUUUAGUAUUGAUAAUUUGUGCGCCACACCAAAAAAAAAAAAACUAGCUCCACCACUGGGUGGCCGGAAGGGAUCAAGAUGGAUUCAUCACCAGUGCGGCAUCAAAGUUUUCAAUGGAAAAAAGAUGACCAUGUAGUUGACAAGAAAGAGAGAGGAUACUCCUCUUCAUUCAGCUGUCAGGGUAGGGAAUCUAGCUUCUAUUAAGAAGAUGGUUUCAAGGAAAGCAAAAAAGGGUUGGUUGAUUUGUUGUUUAAGCAGAAUCGUCCAGGAUAAACACUAGAUGAUUCUUUUAUGGAUUAUGAUAAAUUUUGGAGCCGCUAUAGCAGAUCUUGUUGAAGAGGUUAGUUGGAUUCCUCUUUACAUUUGCUUAUUUUCUUUCAACUACUUAAACAGAUAUGCUUAUUAGGUUCCUUGAAUAUGAGAAUGAAAGUUGUGGUAUUGCCUAUUUAUGCAUGAGUUGGAUAAAGAUAAAUUAUAUGAUAACAUAUGAAAAUCUAAAUUUACCAAGGAAUCUCUUAAAAACUUCUAUUUCUCUUCAUAUAAUGAAGAACUUUGAUAUGUGUUACAUGCAUUGUCAUGGAAUAAGAUUUUUGCAUGGUUAAGAGAAAUUUGGCUUAAAGAGCACCAGUUAGCUUGAUUUUUCAUAUAAAGAUGCUUUCAAAACAAGGCAUUUAAAAGUGUAAGGUGUGUUUUUUUUUCUUUGGAAUAUUAUGAUGUUAUCCUUGAUGCUUUUGAGCUUUUAUGGCUCUUAGGCUAGGUUAUCUUUUUGUUGCCCUUUAAGAGCACUCUUUUUUAUUUCAGUAAAAAUUGAUUUGAUUGAAAUAUUCAUGUUUAAAUUCAAUUAAAUUGCUCUUAUUUUUUCGUUAUUAUUGUUGUUUCAUUGUUUGGACUUUGUUUUCACAUGUUUAUAAUUACUGUUGUCAUAGAGUAAUGGUAUUAUUUUGAAUUAUUUGUAGAGCUAUAUAGUCUUUUGCUAUUUUUAUGAUCCUUCAAUUAUAUCCAUUGUUGAGUAUAGCAUUCCACCUUUCAUAUCCUCAUUUCUCACCAUUUUGUUCUUUCGGUUUCAUUUUCCUAUGUUCAAUUCUCUCACUUUUGACAAAGAAGUUGGCGAUGAAGAUUAGAACCUACAACACAACUGUCCAUUCCCCCUUGGAUUCACACGAGAACCAACAACACCAUUAGGUAUUUCCUCAUUUGCAACCUUAAUUCUAAAGGUUCUUAGGUAAUUUGCUUCCCUAUUCAUCAUAAUUUUUUAUCCUGUUUGAUUCUUUUAUGGUACUCUCUCUUUUUUUUUUUAAUCUUCUUUUUAUUCUUCUAUGAUACUCUCGCAGGUGAUCACUGAUUUGGGUUAAGGAUAACCUCAUGAGAAAUAAGACAUAUCAAGGAAAACCAAAGUCAAAGUUAUUAUGCAUAUGUUCAUUAUGUCAAUAUUCUUUAAUUUGUAAUAUUUAAUUGGUAUGGAAUAAGUAUGAAUUAUCCUUUUCUAUUAGUUCUCAUUAAUGUGAUGUAUGAGAAGAUGUUACAUAAGAAAGAUGAUGCAUUCAAUACUCAAUUUUAUGUUGAUAAUACAGUGUAAAACUCAUAUGCUUGAAAUCCAAUGUGUUUAGCGAUGUGUAUUUUAUCCUUUUUUAA
Long non-coding RNA from Dendrobium catenatum, 2321 nucleotides. RefSeq lists it as uncharacterized. The record is from RefSeq and is a predicted model, not a curated record. The transcript has 4 exons. Lineage: Eukaryota; Viridiplantae; Streptophyta; Magnoliopsida; Asparagales; Orchidaceae.